AGCAGUCGCCGCGGGAAUACGUAGGUGGCAAGCGUUGUCCGGAAUUAUUGGGCGUAAAGGGCUCGCAGGCGGUUUCUUAAGUCUGAUGUGAAAGCCCCCGGCUCAACCGGGGAGGGUCAUUGGAAACUGGGAAACUUGAGUGCAGAAGAGGAGAGUGGAAUUCCACGUGUAGCGGUGAAAUGCGUAGAGAUGUGGAGGAACACCAGUGGCGAAAGCGACUCUCUGGUCUGUAACUGACGCUGAGGAGCGAAAGCGUGGGGAGCGAACAGGAUUAGAUACCCCAGUAGUCCCUGUCUCUUAUAC
Molecule: ribosomal RNA, 303 nt
Filed under: uncultured bacterium
Lineage: Bacteria
Description: partial 16S ribosomal RNA
Rfam family: Bacterial small subunit ribosomal RNA
Source: RNAcentral